This 801-nucleotide ribosomal RNA is filed under the name uncultured Rubrobacter sp. Its description in RNAcentral is "bacterial SSU rRNA". It matches the Rfam family "Bacterial small subunit ribosomal RNA", at positions 8 to 796 of the family's 1533-position model. The record is from RNAcentral. Lineage: Bacteria; Bacillati; Actinomycetota; Rubrobacteria; Rubrobacterales; Rubrobacteraceae.
AGAGUUUGAUCAUGGCUCAGGACGAACGCUGACGGUGUGCUUUAGGCAUGCAAGUCGAACGAGAAAGCCCUUCGGGGUGAGUAAAGUGGCGAACGGGUGAGUAACACGUGGGCAACCUGCCCCUCGCAGGGGGACAACCGGAGGAAACUCCGGCUAAUACCCCGUAAGCUCUACACGCCGCAUGGCGAGUAGAGGAAAGGUAGCUUCGGCCAUCCGGCGAGGGAUGGGCCCGCGGUGCAUUAGCUAGUUGGUGGGGUAACGGCCCACCAAGGCGACGAUGCGUAGCUGGUCUGAGAGGAUGAUCAGCCACACUGGGACUGAGACACGGCCCAGACUCCUACGGGAGGCAGCAGCCAGGAAUCUUGGGCAAUGGGCGAAAGCCUGACCCAGCAACACCGUGUGGGCGAUGAAGGCCUUCGGGUCGUAAAGCCCUGUUGAUAGGGACGAAGGGCGAAGGGUUAAUAGCCCCUAGCUUGACGGUACCUUUCGAGGAAGCCCCGGCUAACUACGUGCCAGCAGCCGCGGUAAUACGUAGGGGGCGAGCGUUGUCCGGAAUUAUUGGGCGUAAAGAGCGUGUAGGCGGUUCGGUAAGUCUGUCGUGAAAUCCUGGGGCUCAACCCCGGGCGUGCGAUGGAUACUGCCGGGCUAGAGGGUGGUAGAGGCGAGUGGAAUUCCCGGUGUAGCGGUGAAAUGCGCAGAUAUCGGGAGGAACACCAGUAGCGAAGGCGGCUCGCUGGGCCACACCUGACGCUGAGACGCGAAAGCUAGGGGAGCGAACAGGAUUAGAUACCCCAGUAGUCC